Molecule: long non-coding RNA, 495 nt
Filed under: Bos taurus (domestic cattle)
Lineage: Eukaryota; Metazoa; Chordata; Mammalia; Artiodactyla; Bovidae
Description: long non-coding RNA NONBTAT020583
Source: RNAcentral
UGUCUGAACAACGUGCCGUGGCUUAGCACUUAAUUAUAAGGGCAAUUCUUUAGAGGAUGAAAAAGCACCAAAAUGUCAGCUUUCAGAAGUUGAUCUUUAUUUUAGUCUAUUUGAGAUGAUAGAGACUUCUUUUUAUGCCUCAAAGAAAUGAAUGUGAAAAGAGUGUCACAAGUUUUACUGUAUUUAAUUCGGCUUUCCCUAAGCCUAAAAUGGAGAAAGCAUUAAUAAAUACUGAACUCCCUGUCUCAGAUCUGCCUGAAACAGACUUUAAUAAAUUACAUUUCAUGCUGCAAUCCAAGCAAUGAGCUGCCACACUUAUGAUUAACAGAGCAUCAUUCUUAUAAAAGAACUACAGUUUUAAAAUAAAAGAAUUGUGUUAUACAGUGCUAUCACACCAAAAUCAAAAAGAGGUACAAUGUUGUUCCAAUGUUAAUGUUAAGCUGUCCAUUCAAUUCUGUGUCAGAUUUUAAAGUAUAAGUACUAAUUGACAUCAAA